GACGAACGCUGGCGGCGUGCCUAACACAUGCAAGUCGAGCGAGGUGUAUACACCUAGCGGCGGACGGGUGAGUAACACGUGGGUAACCUGCCUCAGAGAGGGGAAUAGCCUUCCGAACGGAAGAUUACUACCGCAUAAUAUACGCAUUUAGCAUUAUGAGCGUAUCAAAGGAGAAAUCCGCUUUGAGAUGGGCCCGCGGCGCAUUAGCUAGUUGGAGAGGUAACGGCUCACCAAGGCGACGAUGCGUACCCGACCUGAGAGGGUGAUCGGCCACAUUGGAACUGAGACACGGUCCAGGCUCCUACGGGAGGCAGCAGUGGGGAAUAUUGCACAAUGGGGGAAACCCUGAUGCAGCAACGCCGCGUGAAUGAUGAAGACCUUCGGGUCGUAAAGUUCUUUGAUUGGGGACGAUAAUGACGGUACCCAAAAAACAAGCCACGGCUAACUACGUGCCAGCCGCCGCCGUAA
Molecule: ribosomal RNA, 468 nt
Filed under: uncultured bacterium
Lineage: Bacteria
Description: partial 16S ribosomal RNA
Rfam family: Bacterial small subunit ribosomal RNA
Source: RNAcentral